Molecule: ribosomal RNA, 1119 nt
Filed under: Triticum aestivum (bread wheat)
Lineage: Eukaryota; Viridiplantae; Streptophyta; Magnoliopsida; Poales; Poaceae
Description: partial small subunit ribosomal RNA
Source: RNAcentral
AUGCAAUUGUCAAUUACAUUGGUGCAGCUAUGGAACGAGUGGGAAAUCAGGUUGCUUGUGCUUCUCAGUUUUACACUGCAACUAUUCCUCUUCUUCACAGGGGGGCGUAGGAGACGAAGCAGUAACAAAUUGCUAAGAUUCUCUAUUUGGUUGGCUUAUUUGGGGGCAGACAUGAUUGCAUUUUAUACUCUUGGUCAGAUCUCUCGACUUGGAGAUUCUAUCAAUAGUAGGGAUCCGUUUACAGGGACCAUGUCUUUGGCAUUCUUUUGGGCACCUUUCCUUCUUGUUCAUCUUGGCGGACAAGACACUAUUACUGCCUUUUCAUCUGAGGAUAACAAUUUGUGGCUAAGGCAUUUUCUGAAUCUUUUAGUUGAAGUCAGCCUUGCAUUAUAUGUCUUUUGGAAAUCAAUGGGGAACAACAACCAGCUUUUAGUUCCAGCCAUGUUUGUCUUUGUUUCUGGAAUAAUUAAGUACUGGGAGAGGAUAUGGGCUCUCAAGUAUGGGAGUAAGACUGACCUUAAUAGCACCACUAGUAACUAUGAAAAUAAUCAAUUGCCACUACUAAGUGUUGAGCAAGAUAGAUACUGUGACAUUGUUUGCUAUGCUCUCCGCACGGCACGCUAUAUUCGGGGAUUCCUUGCAGGGCGGGCGACCUUUCAGAUGGGGCAUGAAAUUCGGUUUACAUUAGUAGAAUAUUUUGGAAGAUUUGCAGAGCAUGGGGCAAAACUUAAGAUCAUUGAGAUGGAGCUCGCUAUUAUAUAUGAUGAUCUCUACACCAAGGCUGUUCUGUUUAGGACAUGGACAGGUAGCAUAUUUCGUUGUGUUGUGCAUAUCUCUACAGUGGUUGCUUUUGUGCUCUUCUACGCAAACAGGAAAGAAAGCUAUAGCAGAGUGGAUAUUGCAGUAACAUAUGCAUUACUCAUUGGUAGCACUUUUAUGGAACUUGUUUCAAUUAUUAUGGCAAUGGUAUCACCAUGGGCAUGGGCAUUCUUGAAAGCACGGAAUUUUCACUGGCUUACCAACUUGUUCUGGUCUAUCUUCAACAUUGUUCAGCCGGAGAAGAGGCUGUGGUGGUCAGAUUCCAUGGGGCAAUAUAACCUUCUGCGCUCCAUAUUCUGA